CCUACGGGGAGCAGCAGUGGGGAAUAUUGCACAAUGGGGGAAACUCUGAUGCAGCGACGCCGCGUGAGCGAUGAAGUCUUUCGGUAUGUAAAGCUCUAUUAGCAGGGAAGAAAAUGACGGUACCUGACUAAGAAGCCCUGGCUAACUACGUGCCAGCAGCCGCGGUAAUACGUAGGGGGCGAGCGUUAACCGGAUUAACGGGGUGUAAAGGGAGCGUAGAUGGCUUGGCAAGCCAGAUGUGAAAGGCUGUGGCUCAACCCCAGGACUGCAUUUGAAACUGUAAUGCUAGAGUGUAGGAGAGGAUGGCGGAAUUCCUGGUGUAGCGGUGAAAUGCGUAGAUAUUAGGAGGAACACCGGUGGCGAAGGCGACCUGCUGGACGAUAACUGACGUUGAGGCUCGAAAGCGUGGGGAGCAAACAGGAUUAGAUACCCUAGUAGUC
RNAcentral lists this ribosomal RNA (440 nucleotides) under uncultured bacterium. Its description in RNAcentral is "partial 16S ribosomal RNA". It matches the Rfam family "Bacterial small subunit ribosomal RNA", at positions 338 to 795 of the family's 1533-position model. The record is from RNAcentral.